GGCGCUGGUGGCGGCACGCCAGCACUGCUGGGCGGGGUUCGAGCCCCCGCGGCGCC
This 56-nucleotide small RNA is filed under the name Oryctolagus cuniculus (rabbit). The record is from RNAcentral. Lineage: Eukaryota; Metazoa; Chordata; Mammalia; Lagomorpha; Leporidae.